RNAcentral lists this long non-coding RNA (1513 nucleotides) under Erythranthe guttata (spotted monkey flower). Its description in RNAcentral is "long non-coding RNA (EGUT_LNC003830)". Lineage: Eukaryota; Viridiplantae; Streptophyta; Magnoliopsida; Lamiales; Phrymaceae. The record is from RNAcentral.
CGAAUUACACCUGCAACAUGAUGCACAACAACAUAAGAGCUAAUUGCAUAUAACCCCCUGUGUAAUUUCGAAUGGCCAAAAAGACCCGUGUGUUAAAAAAAUUAGCAAAAACCUCCAUAUAUUUUGUUUUACAAAGUACACUGCCCCUUACAUUUAAAUUGGGUGUUAACUUAUAUGAAAUGACGAAACCACCCCUAAUUAGAACAAACCAAAUACCCCACACUAGAAAACAAAAAAUCGGGAAAAAAAAAGGAAAGUUCGAAAUUUUUGCACUUUGAGAGCGGCAAUGGAGUUGAAGAUGACAGACCACCUCAAGAACAAAGAACAAAGGAAGAUAACUCUUGUUAGUUUUGACACAAAUUUUCGGGUUGUUAAAUUUCAUUUGGCCUCUUUGUAUUGUGGGAAAAAUAGGAAAAGAGAAAAAAAGGAAAAAAAAAAAAAAAAGAACUGGUGGAUCUGGCGGAGGGGAAGAUAACGAGGGAAGAUGCCAUUGUUUAGAGUUAGGAGGCUGAAGAAGUUUAUUGUGUCUGUUCAAGCUCCCCUCCACGUGCUCUAAUGGUGGGUCUUACACACACACACACACACAAAUAUACGGUCUGUAAAUGCAUUUUUUUUUGCUUGAAUUGAAUUUCAGCUUCCCUUUUGUUUGUUGAUUCGUAAUGGAUUAUUUGAUGGUGGGGGAAACUAUUGAUGGAUGUAGGUGUGUGGUGGAGAAGAAAAUUCUGAUUUUGGGGUGUGGUUUUGGGUUGAUUGGGGAAGAUGGCUUUUUAGAAAUAUUAGGGAUUGAAUUGAAAAUUUUGAGAACUUCAUUUUGGGCCUGAUUAAAAUUAUGGGGUGAAUUUAUAAUUUUUUAAAUUUCUAAUUUAAAGGGUAUUUGAGUCUUUUCACGUCAAAAAAUAGACACCCAUUCGCACAUUUCGCGCGUGCUACACACGUUCGGCUAGUAGGGGCCUUAUUGCUUUUGACUAAUUUUCAUAGGGGGGUAUUUGCUAAUUUUGUUGACACAAGGUGUUUUUCAGCAAUUCAAGAUUACACAAGGGUGGUUUUUGCAAAAAACCCACAACAUAAUGAUAAACAACAACAUUUGUGAGAAAACACUUAUUUUCACUGAAACAAAUUCCCUUCUCUAACUACAAUUAACCUCAAUGGCAUGCUAAUAUUUGCAAGAAAUGAAGAUCAACUACAAUCUAUUAGCAAAUUCAAUCGUCAGAUAAACCUUCAACCAAACAAAGCCUCCGCCCCAAUUUCAGAAGUACAUAAAUCUCUCCUUGAGCGAAAAACUCUCAACCCUUUUCGACGAAAUCGCUCGGGCCACUCGUAAUUCAGAUGUCUUCCUCACUAAUUCUCUCUGUUUAGUGCUGUCCUUACUGUUUUUAACUGCUGAUCAAGAGAGUUUCCCACACACAGAACCCAUAAUUUUCCCCCAAUUUAAAGUUCAAACCGCAGCAAAUAAUUGUAAAUUACACCUCCCCUUUUUUUUUCACUUUCACAGUACCAUCUCUGGGUAAUUAAU